Molecule: long non-coding RNA, 4040 nt
Organism: Panthera uncia (snow leopard)
Lineage: Eukaryota; Metazoa; Chordata; Mammalia; Carnivora; Felidae
Exons: 3
Source: RefSeq, a predicted model, not a curated record
CGCAGCUGGAACCGGAGGCGAGCGCAGAGACUACACCCCGGAACCGCGGUGCACUGGAUUGGCUUCUUGGUAAACCCAUCGCCAAUAGGAGUACAAACCGAGGCCGCAUCAUCAGUAUCCAGGCAAAAAGACCUGACACACGUUGUGGCAGGGAGGUGAAACCAGGGCAGAUGGGAACUCCCCAACACUGGGCUUCCCAGAACGCGACACCGCCUUGGGGCCUGAGACCCUGAGAGGCAGGCCCAGGGACCUGGGGCUUUGCCCCUAGCCCUCACCUACUGCACAGAGGGCUCCUUGUCACGCUGUCUCCCUGAGUCGUGGCCCAGGAGCUGUGUGAGUCAUUGAUUCUCCAAUAGUUUGUUCUCAGGAUAUCUACACAGUCUUACAAAUUAGCGAGGAUCCCAGGGAUAAGUUUGUGUCUGUGGGCUAUACCUAUCAAUAUUUACCAUAGUAGGAAUAAAACAGUUUUAAAUAUUUUUAAAUUCAUUUGCAAUCAUAUGAAAACUGAAAUAUGGUUUUUAUUAAAAAUAACAAUUUUCCCAAAUAAAAGGGGCAGUGAGAACACUGGUUUUGUUUCAUUUUCCACUUUGCAAGUCUCUUUCUUGUCUGUCUCGUUAGUAGACCACUAGAUGUUAAGAUUUGCUUCUGCAUCUGUUGUGUUGUUUUGGUUGAAGUAUAUGAAAAAAAUUUACAUCCUUGACCAUAGGAGAAUAGUAUGUAUCAUAACCUUUUCAGAUAAUUAUGGAUGUUCAUCUUUGACAUUAUAUUAAAACUACACAAGUUGUACCUCCUCUGAGGUUAUUUGCAAACUGGAUCUUGAAACAGCAUCAUUGACUGUCUCCUGUGUUACAUUCAAUCCAUAGGCCCAUCUACAUAUGGAAUGGAUGCUGUACUAAUGCAUGAUUGUUGCAUUAGUGGCUCAUGUCCCACAGGAGAAUAAUAUGGCCCAGUGGUGGCAUCAGCCAGCUUCUAACCACACUGAGGCCCAGCUGUCAUUGUCGGAUCAGUUCCUGAUGUGCGGGCUGCUGUUUCUUCUGUCUUCAAUUCCAUAUUUUAAAAUAGCUAUAUUUUAAAAAUAAUUGGUGUUUUUGGGAGCCUGGGUGGCUCAGUUGGUUAAGUGUCUGACUCUUGAUCUCAUGGUUUAUGAGAUGGAGCCCUGUGUCAGGCUCUGCAUUGACAGGGUGGAGUCUGCUUGGGAUUCUCUCUGUCUCUGCCUCUCCCCUGCUCAUACUCACUCUAUCCUUCUCUGUCUCAUUAUAAAUAAAUAAACUUAAAAAAAUUUUUAAUAUAUAUUUUUUAAGGUUUAUUUAUUUUUGAGACAGAGAGAGACAGAGCAUGAACGGAGGAGGGUCAGAGAGAGAGGGAGACACAGAAUCCGAAACAGGCUCCAGGCUCUGAGCUGUCAGCACAGAGCCCGAUGUGGGGCUCGAACUCACGGACUGCGAGAUCAUGACCUGAGCUGAAGUCGGACGCUUAACUGACUGAGCCACCCAGGUGCCCCAAUAAAUAAAUAAAUUUUUAAAACCAUCUGGAAGGACUUUUAAAUUCUUAAAUAUCCCAAUAUACAUUGGCCCUGUUAGGGUUCUUAAGUGUUUAUUUCUUCUUGUAUCACUCCCUGAGGAGAAGCAUUCUCUCAGCUUAUCGAUUGUGUAACUUAUUCACACUAAAUCUAGAUUUAGGGUAGGUCUUAGGUUUAAUGUUUUAUAAGGAGGAAUAUUGGUCAUGGUCAUUCCAGACCCUACUUCCAAUAUUUAUCCUUUUGUCAUGGAGUACCUCAUUCAUGUCUCCUAACAUGUCUGCCAAAUUUGGUUACUGUUCUCUGUAUCUCCUCAGAGGCCCAUCUACUCAGGAAAAUCAGAACCAGAGGAGAGAAAAGAAAGGCAAGUUAUACUGAGAGCAAAAAAGAAGGAAUCAUGUAGUGAGGAAUAAGAGGGAAUUAGUGGGAUUCGUGUAGAGGGUGUAUUUCCUGAUCUCCCACUCUGGCACAUUGUCUCUCUCUUCUACACACACACACCCGUGGGCCCACAUCCCCCUACUCUCCACACACAGGCAGAGAUUUUUGUGAAGUCUGUGCAGUGUUACAUGGCCCUGGCCCAGCUCCUGGUGGAGCAGAACUUCCCAGCCAUUGCCAUCCACUGUGGGACAUCCUGGGAAGAGAGGUGAGUCAGAGAUGGAAAGAUGUUUUGUGUCCUUGGGAUGACAUGAGACCCCCGAGAGAAAGGACUGUGAACAUUUUUCUAAUUUUCAUUCUGACAAAGAUUUCUUGGUGUCCAUAGUUUAAAGACCUUUCAUGAUGAAUUCUUGUGGCCACCAACCUAUUUGGUCGAGGUAUGGACAUUGAGCAGGUAAACACUGCCAUCAACUGCCACCUGCCUGAGGAAUCCCACACCUACCUGGAUCAGGAGGCCUGAGCAGGCCAGUUCGCCCAAGGGCUUGGCCUUCACAUUCGUGUCAAGUGAAAACAAUGCCAAGAUCCUCAGUGAGGUACAGGGUCACAUUGAGGUCAGUCGUAGUGAGCUGCCUGAUGAGAUGGACAUUUCCUCCUCCCUUGCAGCCAUGGGAGAGGACGCACCCAUUCGAAGAGCCUGAUGGAGGUCUCACACCCACGAACCAUGAGAUCAUGCAUGACCUGAGCUGAAAUCAAGAGUCGGAUGCCCACCCGACUGACCCACCCAGGCACUCCUAGAGUUUAUUCUUCCUAAUUAAUUUCUUUUUAAAGAUAUUUUAAAUUUGAAUAUAGUUGACACACAAGAUUACAUUAGUUUUGGGUGUACAACCCAGUGACUCAGCUUCUGUAUACAUUUUCUUUUUUUGAGAGAGAGGCAGCCAGAGCAGGGAAGAGAGGUAGAGGGAGAGAGAGAGAGACAGAGAGAGAGAGAGAGAGAGAGAGAAUCUCAAGCCAGUUCAGUCCCGUGGGGCUUGAUUCCAUGACCUGGGAUCAUGACUGGAGAAACUACAGAGCCACCCAGGGGCCCUUCACUUUCUGUCUACACCAUGCUGUGCUCACCAGAGUGUAGCUGCCAUCUGUCACCACACAAUGAUGUUAUAGUCUCACUGACGAUAUUCCCUGUGCUGUGCCUUUUAUUCCUAUGAUCUGUUCCCUUCCAUAACUGGAGCCUGUGUCUCCCACUCCCCUCACCCACUGUGCCCAUCCUCCCAACCCCUUCCCUCUGGCAGUCAUCAGUUUGUUCUCUGUAUUUAUAGGUCUGAUUCUGCUGUUUGUUUCUUUACUCAUUUGUUUUGUUUUUUUUUUUAGAUUACACAUAUGAGUGAAAUCAUAUGGUACUUGUCUAUCUCAGUCUGAUUCAUUUCACUUAGCAGACAUACUGCCCUGUUUGUCCAUCCAUGUUGUCACAAGUGGCAGUACAUAUUUAUAUGUAUGUGUACAUACCACACAUCUUCCUUAUCCAUUUGUCUAUGGGUGGACACAGGUUCUAUCAGUAUGGCUUCUGAAAAAAAAAAACCUCACACUCUUAACAUCAUCUGGGAUGAGGGCGCCCCCUGGUGUCUGGGUCCCUGUCCAGGUGCUGGAGCUGAAGGAGACCCUAGGGAGGGCUUGGCUGAGGAGGAGAAAGGCAGCUGGGUCUUCUCUCCUUAGUCCUGUGGCCUCACGUGGGGUGGAAGGUAAGGGGACACCCCCUCCCUCACCCCACUGCUCUGCUCUCAGGUGGAUUCUGACUGAGAAGCCUGAGUGGGGUCUGGACUGUAAGUCAGGUGGAGAUGUCUGAGCAGAAGCCUGGGCGUCAGUGGGAAGAGGAAGAAGCUUCUGAGCAGCCCUGGACUCCACAGGGGUCAGGCUCAGGGGUGAGGCAGGAUUGCAGGAGAAGAGAGCUCAGGAGCCGGUGCCAUUGCUGAGGUUUCUGUGUCCCUGUGCACCUCCUCCUCCAGCCCCUUGAUGGAAAUAACAGGGAAAAUGUCUCAGACCUUCCUUUGCUUGUGUACUCUCUGUCUUUCAAAUAAAUAAACUAAAAAAAAAAAAAAAGAAUUGGUGUUUUCAUUUUCUUUGAGUACAUACUCAAGAGUGCAAUUACUGGAUUAUA